CUCAGGACGAACGCUGGCGGCGUGCUUAACACAUGCAAGUCGAGCGGUAAGGCCUUUCGGGGUACACGAGCGGCGAACGGGUGAGUAACACGUGGGUGAUCUGCCCUGCACUUCGGGAUAAGCCUGGGAAACUGGGUCUAAUACCGGAUAUGACCUCCUAUCGCAUGGUGGGUGGUGGAAAGAUUUAUCGGUGCAGGAUGGGCCCGCGGCCUAUCAGCUUGUUGGUGGGGUAAUGGCCUACCAAGGCGACGACGGGUAGCCGACCUGAGAGGGUGACCGGCCACACUGGGACUGAGACACGGCCCAGACUCCUACGGGAGGCAGCAGUGGGGAAUAUUGCACAAUGGGCGAAAGCCUGAUGCAGCGACGCCGCGUGAGGGAUGACGGCCUUCGGGUUGUAAACCUCUUUCAGCAGGGACGAAGCGCAAGUGACGGUACCUGCAGAAGAAGCACCGGCUAACUACGUGCCAGCAGCCGCGGUAAUACGUAGGGUGCAAGCGUUGUCCGGAAUUACUGGGCGUAAAGAGUUCGUAGGCGGUUUGUCGCGUCGUUUGUGAAAACCAGCAGCUCAACUGCUGGCUUGCAGGCGAUACGGGCAGACUUGAGUACUGCAGGGGAGACUGGAAUUCCUGGUGUAGCGGUGAAAUGCGCAGAUAUCAGGAGGAACACCGGUGGCGAAGGCGGGUCUCUGGGCAGUAACUGACGCUGAGGAACGAAAGCGUGGGUAGCGAACAGGAUUAGAUACCCUGGUAGUCCACGCCGUAAACGGUGGGCGCUAGGUGUGGGUUCCUUCCACGGAAUCCGUGCCGUAGCUAACGCA
RNAcentral lists this ribosomal RNA (820 nucleotides) under Rhodococcus sp. S2IP7(2011). RNAcentral's name for it is "bacterial SSU rRNA". It matches the Rfam family "Bacterial small subunit ribosomal RNA", at positions 23 to 859 of the family's 1533-position model. Lineage: Bacteria; Bacillati; Actinomycetota; Actinomycetes; Mycobacteriales; Nocardiaceae. The record is from RNAcentral.